Oncorhynchus mykiss (rainbow trout) is the source of this 2247-nucleotide long non-coding RNA. NCBI's taxonomy places the organism in Eukaryota, Metazoa, Chordata, Actinopteri, Salmoniformes, Salmonidae. The record is from Ensembl.
CUGGCUGAGGUCAAAGGGCGUCUUGUGCAGGUGGAGGGAGAAAAUGAGGCACUCAUGAGAUAUAAGCGGGAGCAGGGAGCCGAGGUGGAAAGGCUGGCAGUGGUGGUGUGUUCUCUGCAGAGCUCGGCCAGGGACAGAGAGGGCACAGAGAGUGUCCAGGCCGAGCGGAGGUGUAUGGACCUGGAGGGGGAGCUGACAGAGACCCGUGCCCAGCUCACGGAGUGCCAAGACAGGCUACAGGAAGCCAGGAGGAGGGCUGAGGAGCAGACCCAGAAGUUCCAGGCCAAGGUGUCCAGUCUGAAGAGCCAGCAUGGCUGUGUUAGUCAGCAGCUGCAGGACAGGAGUGCUGAGGUGCAGAGGCUUCAGAGGUCAUUGGCUGAGCUACAUGGACGAGAGAUGGAGUGGGAGAGAGAGACAUCUGCCCUGCAGGGCCAGCUGGGCCAUGCCAGAGAGGAGCUCCACACCGCCAUCCUCAGGAGGCAGGAACAGCAGCAGAAGGAAGAGCUUUUUGGUGAGCUGCAGAGGGAGGUGGACAGACUGAAGAAUGAGAGACAGGAGCUGCGAAAAAAGCUUUGUGGUAGAGAAGAGGAGCUGAAGAGGCUGAGAGACGAGCAGCAUCAGCUCAAGGACAAGGUCUGUGGCUCUGGGCUCUGGCUGACACCUUUGUGCUUCCCCCGAACAGGAUGACACACAAUGCUGCUUAACAAACCCUCUCCUCUCACGCUGCUGUGUUGUGAGGUGCCUGACUGACUGACACAACGUGGGCAUCUUCUAACGCCUGCUUUCAACCCUUCAACUUCACAUUCACCUCUUAAGCAGUGGGAGCCGACGUGUAAUGAGGCUUUUGGUCGGCCCUUAAAGGCCAAAGAGUGGGUCAGGAGCGUUCCCAGGGAUUGGUGUGGUGUGUGUGUGUCUGCGUAUAUGCACAUGUCUACUGGGCAUGGCCUUGGCAGCCCACACUAAUGAGGGCUCAGACAAGCCCUGUCCCAGUCAAUAGAGGGUGAAAGUGGGACAGAGCAGAGGGAAGACCUGGGACAGAGGGUGAUAAUCUGUAGACGGAGGGAGAGAGGGAACAAGAGAGAAAUAGAAAAGGGUCAGACGGGCGUUUUAGGUGGUCUGCGCUAGAUCCCUGUGUGAGGUGAGUAACCCCGGACGAGUGUUGAGCGCUGGGCCUGCGUGUUUUUACAGCGCGGCUUCACUGUGCUCUGGGACCGCAAUAAACCACGGCCUUCAAAGCACAGCCAAGCUCCACUAACUGCUGAGUGCUUCUCUGGUGGUUGGACAAGAUUACUCUCAAAACAAAGUGCAGACAGGUUGAUUGAUAGAAGGGUCUGUAGAGGUGCGCGCCACAGUGUUUAUUCACACCCUGCUAACACUCGUUUGUUUCAUUCGCAUGGACUGUUAUGUGCUGAUCCUGUUACUGUGUGAGUUUGUCAGUUCAUAAAGAAUAGUCCUGCUCUUUCAGUGGGUUUUAGUGGAAACUCACUAGGGCUGUUAUAGAUGUGUUGUUUUAACAUCCUGGGAACUAGCUGUGACAGGAGGGACAGUCUGCUCUGUGCCACAGCAGACACCGUGAUGACGAGCGUCGGACGUGUUUACAUGAGUGUCUGUACUAUGUCCUUGACCGUUAACGUGUGUGUGUGAGUUGUGUUACUAGAUGUCUCCUGACUGAUAUGAAUGACUGAAGAUGUCUAUUUGAGGAUAUAACUGACUGUGACUGUGUGUCUAUGUGCAGGCUGACGUGGUGGGUCGGGAGCUGUGGGAGGAGAGUGCCCAGCGGGACAGGGAGCUGUGGGAGUGGAGGGACCGCUACCAUGCUGCUUCAGAGGGACUUAGGCUGAGGGAGGCUGGGCUUGAGGAGGUGCAGAGGGCCAGGGACACGGCCCUCAGAGGCCUGAGACUACAGGAGGAGAAGACCCACAGUCUGGGGGCCCAGAUGCAGGAGCUGCAGCACAGCCUGGACGGCCUACAGGGCAGGGUGAGUGGUUGGGACUGGGCAGGUACAGGGAGCAGGGUUGAGGGUGUGGGGGGGGGUCAGGGGAUAGGUAGGAAGAAGAGGGGAGAGGUGGAAGGGAGUCUGGGCCUGAGGAGGUGGCAUGGUUCUAGGAGCUGUGGGGGUCGGAGGGAGGGAGCAGGGUUGGUGACGGUGGUGUGGCUGCAGUGUGGGUCUAGUGAGGACCCGGUCAGGCUCCAUCACAUCAGGUCACUGGGGUCUAAUUAAACUGAGCUCCACAUUAGGCUGCAAUC